RNAcentral lists this ribosomal RNA (164 nucleotides) under uncultured bacterium. RNAcentral describes it as "partial 16S rRNA". It matches the Rfam family "Bacterial small subunit ribosomal RNA", at positions 355 to 511 of the family's 1533-position model. The record is from RNAcentral.
UAGGGAAUCUUCCAUAAUGGACGAAAGUCUGAUGGAGCAACGCCGCGUGAGUGAAGAAGGGUUUCGGCUCGUAAAACUCUGUUGUUAAAGAAGAACAUAUCUGAGAGUAACUGUUCAGGUAUUGACGGUAUUUAACCAGAAAGCCACGGCUAACUACGUGCCAC